CAUCCUUUUCUCCGCAUUAACGUGCACAGCCGUCGAGCUUCUUCUUAUGCACAUUCGAUCCCUUGGGCCACAUGCCUAGCACCCUGCACCCAGCCAGCACAUCUUACAAGCUCAAAGGCCCAUUGUGUGUGCUCCCCUCUUUCUUUUGAGUCCUUAGCCACUUCUUCCCAUGCACCCAAAUCAUUUUCACAAGCUCAAACCCAAACGCCCACUUUAUUUUGAAU
This 224-nucleotide long non-coding RNA is filed under the name Elaeis guineensis (African oil palm). Its description in RNAcentral is "long non-coding RNA (EGUI_LNC045843)". Lineage: Eukaryota; Viridiplantae; Streptophyta; Magnoliopsida; Arecales; Arecaceae. The record is from RNAcentral.